GGAACGUCUAAUGGAGUGGACUGGCUCUCGAUCUCAGCAGUCUAAGAGAGGCUCGGAUGUUUUUGAGGUUGCUGACGAGUCCACUGUUGUCGGAUGUCUUGGGCGCUGAUGCUGCAGGCGAAAGUCAUCUACUGUAAAAGCUCGGACGGAGACUUUCUAUUGGAGAAGUCUGAUAGGAGUCUGAUUGCUAGAGAAGUCUGUC
This 202-nucleotide long non-coding RNA is filed under the name Elaeis guineensis (African oil palm). Its description in RNAcentral is "long non-coding RNA (EGUI_LNC021523)". Lineage: Eukaryota; Viridiplantae; Streptophyta; Magnoliopsida; Arecales; Arecaceae. The record is from RNAcentral.